This 359-nucleotide ribosomal RNA is filed under the name uncultured eukaryote. Its description in RNAcentral is "partial 18S ribosomal RNA". It matches the Rfam family "Eukaryotic small subunit ribosomal RNA", at positions 592 to 976 of the family's 1831-position model. The record is from RNAcentral.
CAAUAGCGUAUAUUAAAGUUGUUGCAGUUAAAAAGCUCGUAGUUGAAGUUUGGGCCUGGGCGGGCGGUCUACCUAUGGUGAGUACUGCUGCGGCCGGGUCUUUCCUUCUGGCUAGCCCUCGGGCGAACCAGGACGAUUACUUUGAGGAAAUUAGAGUGUUCAAAGCAGGCCUUUGCUCGGAUAUAUUAGCAUGGAAUAAUAGAAUAGGACGCAUGGUUCUAUUUUGUUGGUUUCUAGGACCAUCGUAAUGAUUAAUAGGGACGGUCGGGGGCAUCAGUAUUCAGUUGUCAGAGGUGAAAUUCUUGGAUUUAUGAAAGACGAACUACUGCGAAAGCAUUUGCCAAGGAUGUUUUCAUUAA